GUAAGAUGGAGAGAUCAGUGCUGAUGAGGCUGUAGAGUGUGUGAGGGAUGUGAAUGAGGAUGAUGAAGAUCUGAUGAUAGCAGAUAAAAACAGGCUGCAGAGACUUUGAGCCAUACAGGGCACACAGUGUGUGUACAGAACAGCUGAAAUCAUUAUGGAGGCCUCACUGGGAUAUGGAAGCAUCACAGUACAGCUUCAGUGAAGCUUUAAAGUCUCUGAUAUGAGAUGAGAAAUGAAGCAGCCAGAGCUUUUUCAUGAGUGGAAAUCCACUGUGACUGUGAGCUGCUGCUACAGCCUCCAGAUUAGCCAGCAGCUCAUCCUGCUCAACAUUUCCUCACCAACUUUAAUGGAAGUGUGAUGUUUUCAGCUGGAGUGAUGGUCAGGGUGGCCUCCCUCUCCUCUUCUUCUCCUCUUCCUCUUUCAUUUGUAAAGCCACUUCUGCUGCUUUCAUUCAUUUGGAAGUCCUGUAGCUGAGUUUGGGAGAGACUAACAGCCUCGGCAGCAGAGGGGAGAAAGGCUGUAACACCACCACUUUACUCUGUUCUACCUGUCACAUCAUUUUAUCAGGAAACAAAUAUGCUCAUGUUUUUACUAUGUUUGUCUUGAAGAUGUAAGAAGAUCACAUGGUGCUUUUUAUUAUUGUGUUGGUUUGUUUCGCUGUCUCUUGGAUGGAGCCCAGCUGUGCGUGGCCCCUGGGCCUGUGGUCAGAGUGUGUGCUGGAUAAUCCGGCCCAGGAUGAGGCCAAACUGACAUGGGAUGAAAUGUCUGUGCUGGAAGCAAAUGAGUGUGUGAUGUUCUUUCAGUGUUGCACUUUGUAGACGCUCCCUGAGCACUGGUCUCACAGCCAGCUGCACAUAGAGACCAGUGUUGUUAGUCCAGGUCAGAAGAUGACUUGUUGGAAUGAAAAUGAGCUUGUAGUUUGUCUGCUUUAAUAAUGUGACUGGAAAAAGGUGUUGGACUUCAAAUAUGUCCAUUUCUUUCACACUUCACCUUUAAAAGUGAAGCCUUGUGGUUCCUGGAAGGAAAAACACGACUUUUUCAAGUCUUUGUCCUGUUUUUAUGAGAAAUGUACGACUUUAAUGUGAAACAUUCAGAGUUUUUUCUCUUGUUGUGUUUGUUUGAAGCUGCUUCCUGUUGGCUUCAGCUGUUUGGAGUUUCCAUUUUCUAAACUUCUACAUUCUGAACCUUCUUCAGCUCUGAACAGAUGAUGAAACACUGAAUGAUUUCAAGCUCACACUUUGUCUAAUAAACUUACAUCUUUCAUUCUUUAUACAGAUUGAGGGCUGUGGUUUGUCAGAGAUCAGCUGUGAUUAUCUGGCAGCAGCACUGAAGUCCAACCCCUCCCAUCUGAGACAGCUGGACCUGGGAGGAAACAACCUGAAGGAUCCAGAUGUGAAGCAGCUGUCUGAUCUUCAGCAGAGUCCAGACUACAGACUGGAGACUCUGGUGUGGAGGAUGAUGGUAAACAGGACGGUGUGUGUGCUGAGAGAGGAGGAGCUGUGUCCUGAUGAUCCAGAGAGGUUGAAGCAGCAGCAGCUUGUGUGUAGAGACGCUCUGACUGGGCCAUGUUACUGGGAGGUGGAGAGGAGAGCUUCAUCCAGCAGUGACUGACAGAGGAAUGAGAAGAAGUGCAGAUGACUGUCAGUGCUGCAGAGUGAACUGCUCUGAGAACAGCUCCACUGUCAGACACAAUGUAGAGUCCAGCAUCAUCCCUGUGUGUCCCUCUGGAUCUGACAGAGGAUCAUCAGUGUAUCUGGACUGCUCUGCUGCUGCUCUGUCCUUCUACAGUCUCUGCACAGUCUCUGUCUGACUCUGGCUUCAGACCCUCCUGGAUCAAACUCACCUGGAAAGACUUUCAAACAUCACUCAAUAGAUUUGAAUACAGAAUAUAUUUGAUAUAUACUGUAGAUGUACUGUAGAGUUGCAGUUUGUCACUUGUAAAUACAGUCUGUGAGCAGCUGUGAGCUGAAAGAUCUUUCUAGAAACACGAAAUGUUUUCACUCUUCUGUUGCUUUUUCAUAUAUUUCCACAACAUUAAUAUUGAUCCCACCUGUCUCACCUGUUUCAUGCUUUUAUACAUAAUAACAGGACACGUGUGAUCUGAGCGCUGCUGUGGUUGCUGUGCUGCACGUCUUCAUUUAGAUAACAGAGACAUCUAGUGGUUCAGAGGGAGAACUGCAGGAGGUGGAGCUGUGUUUUAGCAUGGAAAACUUUUUAUCUUUUAGGCGCAGAUACAAAUAUGACAAGUAUCAGUGUGAGAUACAAAAGGUCACAUCAGUCAGCAGAGGGAACAGUGAUCACACAGCAAUGUAAGAAUAGAAACAUAACAGUGAAUCUGGACAUGUAUACAGAUGGAAGCAAACAAACAGGAUGUAACACUACAUUAAAGCCACAAAUGGGAA
Molecule: long non-coding RNA, 2402 nt
Organism: Haplochromis burtoni (Burton's mouthbrooder)
Lineage: Eukaryota; Metazoa; Chordata; Actinopteri; Cichliformes; Cichlidae
Exons: 2
Source: RefSeq, a predicted model, not a curated record